RNAcentral lists this ribosomal RNA (397 nucleotides) under Klebsiella terrigena. RNAcentral describes it as "bacterial SSU rRNA". It matches the Rfam family "Bacterial small subunit ribosomal RNA", at positions 124 to 516 of the family's 1533-position model. The record is from RNAcentral. Lineage: Bacteria; Pseudomonadati; Pseudomonadota; Gammaproteobacteria; Enterobacterales; Enterobacteriaceae.
AACUGCCUGAUGGAGGGGGAUAACUACUGGAAACGGUAGCUAAUACCGCAUAACGUCGCAAGACCAAAGUGGGGGACCUUCGGGCCUCAUGCCAUCAGAUGUGCCCAGAUGGGAUUAGCUAGUAGGUGAGGUAAUGGCUCACCUAGGCGACGAUCCCUAGCUGGUCUGAGAGGAUGACCAGCCACACUGGAACUGAGACACGGUCCAGACUCCUACGGGAGGCAGCAGUGGGGAAUAUUGCACAAUGGGCGCAAGCCUGAUGCAGCCAUGCCGCGUGUAUGAAGAAGGCCUUCGGGUUGUAAAGUACUUUCAGCGAGGAGGAAGGCAUUAAGGUUAAUAACCUUGUCGAUUGACGUUACUCGCAGAAGAAGCACCGGCUAACUCCGUGCCAGCAGCC